This 463-nucleotide ribosomal RNA is filed under the name uncultured ciliate. RNAcentral describes it as "SSU rRNA". It matches the Rfam family "Eukaryotic small subunit ribosomal RNA". The record is from RNAcentral. Lineage: Eukaryota; Ciliophora.
GUCUGGUUAAUUCCGAUAACGAACGAGACCUUAACCUGCUAACUAGUCCAGAUUAUUCUAUAGUCUCGGACUUCUUAGAGGGACUAUGCGUAUUAAACGCAUGGAAGUUUGAGGCAAUAACAGGUCUGUGAUGCCCUUAUAUGUCCUGGGCUGCACGCGUGCUACACUGAUGCAUACAGCAAGUGCCUAACCAGUCAUGGCUUGGCAAUCUCCAAUAUGCAUCGUGAUGGGGAUAGAUCUUUGCAAUUAUAGAUCUUGAACGAGGAAUUCCUAGUAAGUGCAAGUCAUCAUCUUGCAUUGAUUAUGUCCCUGCCCUUUGUACACACCGCCCGUCGCUCCUACCGAUACCGGGUGGUUCGGUGAACCUUUUGGACCUCUUAUGAGGAAAAAUAAGUAAACCAUAUCACCUAGAGGAAGGAGAAGUCGUAACAAGGUUUCCGUAGGUGAACCUGCRGAAGGAUCA